RNAcentral lists this ribosomal RNA (465 nucleotides) under Vreelandella stevensii. RNAcentral describes it as "partial 16S ribosomal RNA". It matches the Rfam family "Bacterial small subunit ribosomal RNA", at positions 338 to 795 of the family's 1533-position model. Lineage: Bacteria; Pseudomonadati; Pseudomonadota; Gammaproteobacteria; Oceanospirillales; Halomonadaceae. The record is from RNAcentral.
CCUACGGGUGGCAGCAGUGGGGAAUAUUGGACAAUGGGCGAAAGCCUGAUCCAGCCAUGCCGCGUGUGUGAAGAAGGCCUUCGGGUUGUAAAGCAUUUUCAGUGGGGAAGAAAGCCUUGGGGCUAAUACCCUCGAGGAAGGACAUCACCCACAGAAGAAGCACCGGCUAACUCCGUGCCAGCAGCCGCGGUAAUACGGAGGGUGCGAGCGUUAAUCGGAAUUACUGGGCGUAAAGCGCGCGUAGGCGGUCUGAUAAGCCGGUUGUGAAAGCCCCGGGCUCAACCUGGGAACGGCAUCCGGAACUGUCAGGCUAGAGUGCAGGAGAGGAAGGUAGAAUUCCCGGUGUAGCAGUGAAAUGCGUAGAGAUCGGGAGGAAUACCAGUGGCGAAGGCGGCCUUCUGGACUGACACUGACGCUGAGGUGCGAAAGCGUGGGUAGCAAACAGGAUUAGAUACCCCAGUAGUC